This 637-nucleotide ribosomal RNA is filed under the name uncultured bacterium. RNAcentral's name for it is "bacterial SSU rRNA". It matches the Rfam family "Bacterial small subunit ribosomal RNA", at positions 607 to 1244 of the family's 1533-position model. The record is from RNAcentral.
GCUCAACCGGGGAGGGUCAUUGGAAACUGGGGAACUUGAGUGCAGAAGAGGAGAGUGGAAUCCCACGUGUAGCGGUGAAAUGCGUAGAGAUGUGGAGGAACACCAGUGGCGAAGGCGACUCUCUGGUCCGUAACUGACGCUGAGGCGCGAAAGCGUGGGGAGCGAACAGGAUUAGAUACCCUGGUAGUCCACGCCGUAAACGAUGAGUGCUAAGUGUUAGAGGGUUUCCGCCCUUUAGUGCUGCAGCAAACGCAUUAAGCACUCCGCCUGGGGAGUACGGUCGCAAGACUGAAACUCAAAGGAAUUGACGGGGGCCCGCACAAGCGGUGGAGCAUGUGGUUUAAUUCGAAGCAACGCGAAGAACCUUACCAGGUCUUGACAUCCUCUGACAACCCUAGAGAUAGGGCUUCCCCUUCGGGGGCAGAGUGACAGGUGGUGCAUGGUUGUCGUCAGCUCGUGUCGUGAGAUGUUGGGUUAAGUCCCGCAACGAGCGCAACCCUUGAUCUUAGUUGCCAGCAUUCAGUUGGGCACUCUAAGGUGACUGCCGGUGACAAACCGGAGGAAGGUGGGGAUGACGUCAAAUCAUCAUGCCCCUUAUGACCUGGGCUACACACGUGCUACAAUGGGCAGAACAAAG